GGGUCUGUAGCUCAGUCGGUUAGAGCAGCGGACUCAUAAUCCGUUGGUCCUGGGUUCAAGUCCCAGCAGACCUA
This 74-nucleotide transfer RNA is filed under the name Entomospira culicis. It matches the Rfam family "tRNA". Rfam says of the family: Transfer RNA (tRNA) molecules are approximately 80 nucleotides in length. Lineage: Bacteria; Pseudomonadati; Spirochaetota; Spirochaetia; Spirochaetales; Spirochaetaceae. The record is from Rfam by way of RNAcentral.